AGAGUUUGAUCCUGGCUCAGGAUGAACGCUAGCGGCAGGCUUAACACAUGCAAGUCGAGGGGCAGCGGGGAGGAAGCUUGCUUUCUCCGCCGGCGACCGGCGCACGGGUGAGUAACACGUAUGCAACCUGCCCCUGUCAGGGGGACAACCCGCCGAAAGGCGGGCUAAACCCGCGUACAUGCCACCGGGGCAUCCCGGAGGCAGGAAAGGCUUCGGCCGGACAGGGAUGGGCAUGCGGCGCAUUAGGCAGUAGGCGGGGUAACGGCCCACCUAACCGACGAUGCGUAGGGGUUCUGAGAGGAAGGUCCCCCACACUGGUACUGAGACACGGACCAGACUCCUACGGGAGGCAGCAGUGAGGAAUAUUGGUCAAUGGGCGCGAGCCUGAACCAGCCAAGUCGCGUGAGGGAAGACGGUCCUAUGGAUUGUAAACCUCUUUUGUCGGGGAGCAAAAGACGUCACGUGUGGCGUUCCGAGAGUACCCGAAGAAAAAGCAUCGGCUAACUCCGUGCCAGCAGCCGCGGUAAUACGGAGGAUGCGAGCGUUAUCCGGAUUUAUUGGGUUUAAAGGGUGCGCAGGCGGAAGAUCAAGUCAGCGGUAAAAUUGAGAGGCUCAACCUCUUCGAGCCGUUGAAACUGGUUUUCUUGAGUGAGCGAGAAGUAUGCGGAAUGCGUGGUGCAGCGGUGAAAUGCAUAGAUAUCACGCAGAACUCCGAUUGCGAAGGCAGCAUACCGGCGCUCAACUGACGCUCAUGCACGAAAGCGUGGGUAUCGAACAGGAUUAGAUACCCUGGUAGUCCACGCAGUAAACGAUGAAUACUAACUGUCCGGGCCGAUUGAGGUCUGGGUGGUGCAGCGAAAGCGUUAAGUAUUCCACCUGGGGAGUACGCCGGCAACGGUGAAACUCAAAGGAAUUGACGGGGGCCCGCACAAGCGGAGGAACAUGUGGUUUAAUUCGAUGAUACGCGAGGAACCUUACCCGGGCUCAAACGACGGAUGGAUGUUUUUGAAAGAAGGCAGCCCUUCGGGGCAUCCGUCGAGGUGCUGCAUGGUUGUCGUCAGCUCGUGCCGUGAGGUGUCGGCUUAAGUGCCAUAACGAGCGCAACCCCCAUCGCCAGUUACCAGCAAGUAAAGUUGGGGACUCUGGCGAGACUGCCGGCGCAAGCUGUGAGGAAGGCGGGGAUGACGUCAAAUCAGCACGGCCCUUACGUCCGGGGCGACACACGUGUUACAAUGGCAGGUACAGAGAGAAGCGAUGCGGCGACGCAGAGCGGAACUUCAAAGCCUGUCUCAGUUCGGAUUGGAGUCUGCAACCCGACUCCAUGAAGCUGGAUUCGCUAGUAAUCGCGGAUCAGCACGCCGCGGUGAAUACGUUCCCGGGCCUUGCACACACCGCCCGUCA
Molecule: ribosomal RNA, 1401 nt
Filed under: uncultured bacterium
Lineage: Bacteria
Description: 16S ribosomal RNA
Rfam family: Bacterial small subunit ribosomal RNA
Source: RNAcentral